Molecule: long non-coding RNA, 2378 nt
Organism: Astatotilapia calliptera (eastern happy)
Lineage: Eukaryota; Metazoa; Chordata; Actinopteri; Cichliformes; Cichlidae
Source: Ensembl
AAUUCCUCCAAAAUGACGUUAGAGAUUGAUAAAGUCAUGUGGAAAAUGUACUGUAUGCCACUGCAAACCCGGAAGCUGCUUGCUUGACGGCAGAGAGCAGGAGACACGUGGUUUGAUAAAGCGAUAAAUUGCGGCUCGGGCUCAUUAACGACCUCUCUUCCUUGUUGCGGUGAUGCAGGUCGGACAUGAGGUGCUGGAGAGACGAGAACUGACGAGGUGACACCUUGUUUUACUCUAAAUGUUCACCUUUAGUGAUGAUUCUCUUCGUUAUUGUCGCAGGUGUCGUGUUUAUAUUUAUGCGUUUGCGCGUUUCUUGACGUUAUUUCCGCACAUUGUUAGCUCGCAGCUUCAGUAGCGCCAAAUGCACCUCGUGGUUUCCGCUGAUGAGGAAAAUGCAGCUGAAUAUUAAACGAUGCGUACGAGGGACUGAUGCAAUUUAGGCUUUGAUUGGGAGCUCAGUGAACUUUAAGGUGCUGGGGCUGUGUUCUGUAAUGUUAUAACAGUUUAGGUUGAUGUGUUUGAGGUUAAUGACUCCCAUAGGAGGAAGACCUGUGGGUCAGGGUUUGAGUGUACUUCAAACAUCACAUACAAAACGAUCUAAAUGAAGCUGGCUUGCUUCACCGAGAACUGAACGAAACUGAUUAAAAUUGGAAGUUAAUUUUAGUUGCGUCAAACGACACAAUACCCGUGCAUAAGACCUCCGUGCUACUAUGUUGGGUCAACUAACGUCCACUAUGAACUUCAUAAGUAACAAAGUUAAAACUAAUAUAAAGGUCAAGCACUAAGGUCUUGUUUACAAAGGGUAUAAUCCGUUUUAUUAAGAACUUGAGGAGUCAGCGUGUUCCCUUUGUUUAUGCUUGUAAAACAAAGGGUUUCCUGUCUUGUCCUAUCUGAGAGUGUAAAUUCCUAAAUGAGCUAAAUAGGUUCUGUAAGUUCUAAACAUUGCUGUAAUAUUUACCAAAAUCACAAGCUGAAUGUUCAGUUCACACAUUUUAAAAUGCAUCAACUAAACUGUGCAUUAUAUAAAAAAAUAAGAAAUUAUUUCUUUACUCUUAGCUUUAUCACACUAGGCCCAUUAAUUGAGUUGUGCCAUUUCAGUUCUCAUCCUAUACCUGCUGCAGAUGCAGACUUGCCAGCUUUUAGUCAAACCUUGAUGAUGAGUUGCAUGUGAGUCCGUGUUUCACCUGAAACCUCAUGAUUAUCUUUCACUGCACUGAUGGGUUUGACAGUAAGGGCGCAGGUCAGGCACUCUGGUGUGUAAGUGCACAGUUAAGCUAAUCUUAUGUUCCUUUUCUUUCAGGAUUUCAGAACCUGGGUGUGUCCAAGGUAAGGUUUCUUCAGUUUUGUUCGCUGAAAUUGCAUCACAAUAUCUGUUGGUUUAAAAGUGUGGAAAUUCCCAGCUUUAGAUUCAAGGUGUUUAAUGUCAUGUGUCCAAAGAAAGGCAUUUCUCUGUGCAAAUGAAAUUGUUUCUUUGCUGUCCACCCUCAGAUGCUGGUUAAGAUAUACAAUAGAAAUAGAGCAGAUAAAAUACAAAUGGUAUAAAUAAAUGAAGACGGAAAAGGAGAUAAAAUUAAGAAAUUUAAGAUGCUGAAGUCAGGUGGUCUAUAGUCAAAAUUUAACUAGGGUCAAAUUCUGCUAGGUAAUUUCUUUUUUUGACUUUUUGAAAUUAAAUGGUUAAUGCAAUCCACUCUGGAUAUCAAAAUCCAGCCCAUAAUCUGAUAUUGAAUGGCCAAUAAGCUUGCAUCACAAAGGAACCGUAUUAUCUAAUAGCCAGUUUUCAUUAGUCCCUAUUCGGGUCAGGACACUUUUUAGGGUUUUCCAUUAGGUGAUAGUACCUGGUACUUUUUAGUACCAACUCAACCGGGGUACCAAGCAAUCGAGGCAGAAAUAUGAAAAUGUGUCGGUAGAUGUGGUCACUGAUUGGCUAGUCAGUGAUGCAUGAAGUCAGCAAAGCCAUUAAGUUGAUGACUUUAAAUUAACUUAGGUUAACAUUAAAGUGUUACUUAGUCUGUGCAGUAUGUUUUUAUAUUGUGGUGUACUAAAAAUGUGUAACCAGAGUUUAGUACAACAUAGUUCAACAGCACCCCCGCUUUUUUUUUUUUUAAAUUUAUUUUAAACUCUAAAGUGAUUGUAAUGCUGAAUUAAUGCCUUUGAGGCUCUAUUAAUAUUUUCUUUGUUUGACAGGUGAUGGAUCCUUCAUGAGCUCUGGCUGCUGGGUUUCCUCAGGUGGAAAUGUUGUGAUUUUAAAGUAUUAAAUGUAAUUUAUUUUAAUUAAAUCUUUGUUUACUGACAAAUACAACUCGAUCUAUAUUUCAGUGAUAACAAUUUGUAGUAGGUACAUUUGUGUGUUCAAUAAAGCAUCUUUUUUGUAAAUCAAA